CAGUAGCCGCGGGAAUACGUAGGUCCCGAGCGUUGUCCGGAUUUAUUGGGCGUAAAGCGAGCGCAGGCGGUUGGAUAAGUCUGAUGUGAAAGCCCCCGGCUCAACCGGGGAGGGUCAUUGGAAACUGGGAAACUUGAGUGCAGAAGAGGAGAGUGGAAUUCCACGUGUAGCGGUGAAAUGCGUAGAGAUGUGGAGGAACACCAGUGGCGAAGGCGACUCUCUGGUCUGCAACUGACGCUGAGGAGCGAAAGCGUGGGGAGCGAACAGGAUUAGAUACACCAGUAGUCCCUGUCUCUUAUAC
Molecule: ribosomal RNA, 301 nt
Filed under: uncultured bacterium
Lineage: Bacteria
Description: partial 16S ribosomal RNA
Rfam family: Bacterial small subunit ribosomal RNA
Source: RNAcentral